UUCAGUUUGUUGAAAAUUACAGCUAAGCAUGUAACAUCGUUUCUGGUUUCCAUCCGUUUGCUGAACUGUCGAAAUUACAAAAAAAAUCUGUUCGAACUUAAAAGCAGCCUGAAGGCUUAUUUCAUACUAAUGAUAGUAAUAGUUCUGUAAAUUUAUAACUCUUAUUAAUAUUAGCAUUAACAUUAACUAAGCAUUUCGCAAGACACUGUUGAGCACUUGCAAUUUACAAAAGGGGAACGGUCAUCAACAAAAACAGUUACAACUAUGAAUAUCUGAAAUGGAAAUGGAAUUGCACUCGGACACACUUCCUUGUACAGCCUUACAAUUUGCAUCGCAUUGUCGAUCGUUCCGAUCUUCGAUCCUCGUUGCCAAUUACGAGGAUGUCUCAUGUUCAGGUUGCCGGCAGUCGCAGUGGCAUUUUGAACCGGUUUCCUGGGUUUAUUCUCCUUUUUGUUUUUUGUAUGUGACGUGCCUUCUUGGGUAAUUUUUGCUUAAAGUUAUCGCAUAUUAACCCUUAAUUAAAAUACUUACAACUGAUUCCGAUGCUGGAUAAUAAAGACGUUGCUCACGAGUAGCAAAAACAGAAAA
This is a long non-coding RNA of Drosophila nasuta, 588 nucleotides long. RefSeq lists it as uncharacterized. The transcript is spliced from 2 exons. The record is from RefSeq and is a predicted model, not a curated record. Lineage: Eukaryota; Metazoa; Arthropoda; Insecta; Diptera; Drosophilidae.